UGGUUCUAGCAUCGAUGAAGAACGCAGCAAAAUGCGAUAAGUAGUGUGAAUUGCAGAAUUUAGUGAAUCAUCGAAUCUUUGAACGCACAUUGCGCCCUUUGGUAUUCCUUAGGGCAUGCCUGUUCGAGCGUCAUAAAAGCAUUAAGCCUAGCUUAGUGAUGGGCGCCUGUCCUACUGCCUGUAGUGACUCGCCUUAAAUAUAUUGGCAGCCUGUACCUUGGCUUUGAGCGCAGCAGAGUCCGCGUGUCUUGCCUUGUGCACGAGCAUCCAGAAGCUCCUCUUGAGUUUGACCUCGGAUCAGGUAGGGAUACCCGCUGA
RNAcentral lists this unclassified non-coding RNA (318 nucleotides) under uncultured fungus. RNAcentral's name for it is "partial contains 5.8S ribosomal RNA and internal transcribed spacer 2". The stretch from base 1 to 133 matches the Rfam family "5.8S ribosomal RNA", at positions 22 to 154 of the family's 154-position model. Lineage: Eukaryota; Fungi. The record is from RNAcentral.